This 785-nucleotide long non-coding RNA is filed under the name Mytilus galloprovincialis (Mediterranean mussel). The record is from RNAcentral. Lineage: Eukaryota; Metazoa; Mollusca; Bivalvia; Mytilida; Mytilidae.
CAGAUAAUGAUAAUAUUUGCUUAAAUCCACCAGCAAGCUAACAUUUAGCAAUGAUUUCUUUUGGCUACUGUUCUUAACUCCGGGUAUCGUCUCUGUUCAAGAUUUCCAAGAUUUUUGUUUAUUUGUAUCGAAAGUUGAACUUCCGGUUACGAACCUGGGUCCUUCGCCCCAAAGAGUACGUCCCUUUUACGUUCAUAUCCUUUCAUGGAAUAUUUGCUGUAUAUAUGUGCUAUAAAAGAUCUAGAUACACAAUUACCGAUGUAUACCCUCUUAAGGAAAAUAUACUUUUAAUUCGGAAGUUUUCGGGAGUUCAUUAAAUACACGUUACUAACCUGCAUGAUCUGUUACAGCGCAAAAUACAAUUUGUUAGGCUUACCCAUAGGCAGUAGACGAUCUGUCAAUACUCAAUUUCAAUAGUAUAAGAUAUGGGGAAAAGGUAAUAUAUAAAAAAAAUUAAACUAAAAACAAAUUAAACUCGUCGUGCAUCUAAUUUAUGUAGAAAUAUACAAUGACGCAUGGUAAACAUGAUAAUCAUUAUAGUCUGCAAAUCUUUGGACAAUGUUGCAUCUAAUUACUCACACUUGUAAAAAUUAAAUAAUUAUAAAAAUGAAAACGAAUAAUCCAUUCAUGGGACCAAUUUCUCAUUCAGUCUUUGCAUGUGCUCUCCACGUGGCGAUGCAAUAUGGUUAAAAAAUGAAUUCUUUCUAAGAUUAGUACUUCUAAUAAACAUUAGAAGCAUGAGUCAGUUUAUAACCAUACAAAUUCUUACAGUAGUUUACUUUAUC